GAAGGUUAGUCUUUAGUGAAGAUGCAGGGUUGUCAGCUCUGAGAGGUUAUUACAUAACACCUUCC
Molecule: transfer RNA, 65 nt
Filed under: Unio crassus
Lineage: Eukaryota; Metazoa; Mollusca; Bivalvia; Unionida; Unionidae
Description: tRNA-Asp
Source: RNAcentral